AGACUCCAUUUUGGCCCCAGCCGUGCUUCUAGGAAGUAGAGCGCCGGCUCGCAUGCCUGCCCGCCCGCCAGCUUGCCGGGUACGGCCUUUUCCGCCGGGGCUUCCAGAUGAUGGUGGUGCUACCCCAGUACAGGAUGAACGGGAUUCAGGGUCAGACGGUGAGGAUGAUGUAAAUGAGCAACACUCCGGAUCAGACACUGGAAGUGUAGAACGUCAUUCAGAGAAUGAAACUAGUGAUCGAGAAGAUGGCCUCCCCAAAGGACAUCAUGUGACAGACUCUGAGAAUGAUGAGCCCUUAAAUCUUAAUGCUAGUGACUCUGAAAGUGAGGAGCUUCACAGGCAAAAGGACAGCGACUCUGAAUCUGAGGAACGUGCAGAGCCUCCUGCAAGCGAUUCUGAAAAUGAGGAUGUCAAUCAGCAUGGGAGCGACUCUGAGAGUGAAGAGACCAGGAAAUUACCUGGUAGUGACUCUGAAAAUGAGGAGCUUCUUAAUGGGCAUGCAAGUGACUCAGAAAACGAAGAUGUUGGGAAGCAUCCCGCCAGUGAUUCUGAGAUGGAGGAGCUCCAGAAGAGUCCUGCCAGUGACUC
This 588-nucleotide small RNA is filed under the name Pongo abelii (Sumatran orangutan). RNAcentral describes it as "processed transcript". The record is from RNAcentral. Lineage: Eukaryota; Metazoa; Chordata; Mammalia; Primates; Hominidae.